Molecule: transfer RNA, 62 nt
Filed under: Holostephanus sp. FJ-2023
Lineage: Eukaryota; Metazoa; Platyhelminthes; Trematoda; Diplostomida; Cyathocotylidae
Description: tRNA-Gln
Source: RNAcentral
UACAAUCAGGUGUGUUUGCAUAAAUUAUUUUGGUUAAUUAGGGGAUUAGGCGUCGAUUGUAG